GAUGAACGCUAGCGAUAGGCUUAACACAUGCAAGUCGAGGGGCAGCACAAGGUAGCUUGCUAUCUGGGUGGCGACCGGCGCACGGGUGCGUAGCGCGUAUGCAACUUGCCCUAUACAGGAGGAUAACCCGUCGAAAGACGGACUAAUACUGCGUAUGCUCACAACUUGGCAUCAAGUGGUGAGGAAAGAAAUUCGGUAUAGGAUAGGCAUGCGUCCCAUUAGCUUGUUGGUGAGGUAACGGCUCACCAAGGCAACGAUGGGUAGGGGAACUGAGAGGUUUAUCCCCCACACUGGUACUGAGACACGGACCAGACUCCUACGGGAGGCAGCAGUGAGGAAUAUUGGUCAAUGGGCGCGAGCCUGAACCAGCCAAGUCGCGUGAAGGAUGACUGUCUUAUGGAUUGUAAACUUCUUUUAUACGGGAAUAACAAGAGUCACGUGUGACUCCCUGCAUGUACCGUAUGAAUAAGCAUCGGCUAACUCCGUG
This 487-nucleotide ribosomal RNA is filed under the name uncultured bacterium. Its description in RNAcentral is "partial 16S ribosomal RNA". It matches the Rfam family "Bacterial small subunit ribosomal RNA", at positions 28 to 507 of the family's 1533-position model. The record is from RNAcentral.